CCAAGAUGAACACACGAGCUCUAUGCUUGGUGGCUCUCUUAUAAUGGUGUCUAGCAUUCUACUAUCAUGCCAUGCAGGUCCAAAACCAACCCCAAUUCCCAACUUAUGUAUGAAGUUCAAAGCCUGCGAGGGAGACUAUGUGUCUGACGAACCAUGCAUGGGACAUUGCGCAUUUUUUGAAUUCAAGCAUGGCCACUGCCAUUCAGAUCAUGGUGGUAUUUGUUGCUGCUCGAACAUCUAAGAAAUGAUGGAUACAUGUUAUUAUCUUAUGCUACAAAAGUAUUGCGUGUAAGAUAGCAUAAACAUACGUGUGCACCAAAAAUUCCAAUAAAGUAUCAUUCAACUUGACUAUGAACAAUUCUUCUUAAUAGUGGAAUCAAUGGUUUCUAUCUUCUA
Molecule: long non-coding RNA, 396 nt
Organism: Aegilops tauschii subsp. strangulata
Lineage: Eukaryota; Viridiplantae; Streptophyta; Magnoliopsida; Poales; Poaceae
Source: RefSeq, a predicted model, not a curated record